GGUUUAGAUCCUGGCGUCAGGAUGAACGACGUACGCGGCAGGCGUUAACACAUGCAAGUCGAGGGGUAGUAGUUCUUCGGAGCUAGAGACCGCGGCACGGUGCGUAACGCGUAUGUCAAUCUACCUUUACUAGGGGAUAGCCCAGUAGAAAUUUGGAUUAAUAACCCCAUAGUAUAAUUGAAUGGCAUCAUUUAAUUAUUAAAGUCACACGGUAAAAGAUGAGCAUGCGUCCCAUUAGCUAGUUGGUAAGGUAACGGCUUACCAAGGCAACGGAUGGGUAGGGGGUCCUGAGAGGGAGAUCCCCCACACUGGUACUGAGACACGGACCAGACUCCUACGGGAGGCAGCAGUGAGGAAUAUUGGUCAAUGGGCGCAAGCCUGAACCAGCCAUGCCGCGUGCAGGAUGACGGUCCUAUGGAUUGUAAACUGCUUUUGCACAGGAAGAAACACUGAUUCGUGAAUCAGCCUGACGGUACUGUGAGAAUAAGGAUCGGCUAACUCCGUG
RNAcentral lists this ribosomal RNA (505 nucleotides) under uncultured Flavobacteriaceae bacterium. RNAcentral describes it as "bacterial SSU rRNA". It matches the Rfam family "Bacterial small subunit ribosomal RNA", at positions 9 to 507 of the family's 1533-position model. The record is from RNAcentral. Lineage: Bacteria; Pseudomonadati; Bacteroidota; Flavobacteriia; Flavobacteriales; Flavobacteriaceae.